RNAcentral lists this ribosomal RNA (942 nucleotides) under Triticum aestivum (bread wheat). Its description in RNAcentral is "partial small subunit ribosomal RNA". The record is from RNAcentral. Lineage: Eukaryota; Viridiplantae; Streptophyta; Magnoliopsida; Poales; Poaceae.
AUGGCGGCCGCCUCGAGAAGUCUUCUCGCACGCCUCCGCCACCUCUCCCUCGCCGGGCCCCGCCUCCCCCCUUGCCGCCUCUUCUCCGCGGAGCCUCUCGUCUCCCAUCCCGACGACGACGAUGCCGGCGCCGGCGGCGAGGGCGGAGGCCGGAUCAUAGAGGCGCGUCCUGCUGUCAUGGGCCCGGAUUCCCGGCGGACCGGCGUGAUCGGCGUGAAGUGCGGCAUGUCGGCGAUGUGGGACAAGUGGGGGGCCAAGGUUCCCAUCACCGUCCUCUGGGUCGACGACAAUGUCGUCUGCCAGGUCAAGACCGCCGAGAAGGAGGGGUUCUACGCGCUGCAGCUCGGAGCAGGCCAAAAGAAGGAAAAGCAUCUAACAAAGCCUGAAGUGGGCCACUUUAGAUCACAAGGAGUCCCUCUUAAGAGAAAAUUAAAGGAGUUUCCUGUUACUGAGGAUGCACUUCUUCCUGUUGGAACAACCAUCUCGGUUCGUCAUUUUGUACCUGGGCAAUUUGUGGAUGUCAUUGGAAUCACAAAGGGAAAAGGUUUUGCGGGUGGCAUGAAAAGACAUGGUUUUAGUGGGAUGCCUGCAUCACAUGGUGCUUCUUUAUCACAUCGCAGCAUCGGUUCUACAGGUCAAAGGGAUGCUCCUGGCAGGGUUUUCAAAAACAGGAAAAUGCCUGGGCGCAUGGGUGGUGUUCAACGCACGGUGAAAAAUGUAUGGGUUUACCAAAUUGACCCUGCCAGGAACUUACUGUAUCUGAAAGGCCAGGUUCCUGGUCCUCAAGGCAGCUUUCUUUUCGUCAAGGACUCUAUUUACAAGAAACCCGACAGAGCUUUCCUGCCAUUCCCUACGUACUUCUCACAAGAAGGCGAGUUGGAAGACAUGGAGCCGCUCAUUGCUGAUCUUGGUGACGUCGACCCGUUCAUGGCAGCAGAUUAA